UACGGAGGGUGCAAGCGUUAAUCGGAAUUACUGGGCGUAAAGGGCGUGUAGGUGGUUUCGUAAGUCUGGCGUGAAAUUUUUCGGCUUAACCGGGAAAGGUCGUCGGAUACUGCGGAACUAGAGGACGGUAGAGGCGUGUGGAAUUCCGGGUGUAGUGGUGAAAUGCGUAGAGAUCCGGAGGAACACCAGUGGCGAAGGCGACACGCUGGGCCGUACCUGACACUGAUGCGCGACAGCAUGGGGAGCAAACAGG
This 253-nucleotide ribosomal RNA is filed under the name uncultured prokaryote. RNAcentral's name for it is "partial 16S ribosomal RNA". It matches the Rfam family "Bacterial small subunit ribosomal RNA", at positions 524 to 776 of the family's 1533-position model. The record is from RNAcentral.